Molecule: transfer RNA, 46 nt
Filed under: Titanidiops canariensis
Lineage: Eukaryota; Metazoa; Arthropoda; Arachnida; Araneae; Idiopidae
Description: partial tRNA-Leu
Source: RNAcentral
CCAAUGGCAGAAAUAAUGCAAUAGAAUUAGAAUCUAAAUAUUACUA